AAAAAGUUGGUGCUGGAAGUUGGGUCUUCGGCCAUAAGCUCAAAACCUCUAAGAAGUACCCAUGGUUGAUGCUGUACCUCAGAGCUGAUGCAACCAAAGGAUUUUCUGGAGGGUGUCACUAUCACUAUGACACAAGAGGCAUGCUCAAAAUUCUUCCAGAGUCACCCAAUUUCAGGGUUAAAGUGACAUUGGAUGUCAAGCAAGGGGGAGGAUCCAAGAGCCAGUUCUAUUUAAUAGAUAUUGGUAGCUGCUGGAAAAACAAUGGUGAUCCUUGUGAUGGAGAUGUACUCACUGAUGUAACCAGAUACAGUGAGAUGAUCAUCAAUCCUGCAACUCCUGCUUGGUGUGGUCCCAGUAGUCUAGAGAACUGCCCACCAUAUCACAUUACCCCAAAUAACACAAAAAUUCACAGGAAUGAUACAGCCAACUUCCCCUAUGGGGCUUAUCACUACUACUGUGCUCCAGGGAAUGCCCAAUUUUUGGAGAAACCAGUAAGCACUUGUGAUCCUUAUAGCAAUCCUCAGGCACAAAAGCUAGUUCAGUUGCUGCCUCAUCCCAUAUGGGCUGAAUAUGGCUAUCCAACAAAACAAGGGGAUGGUUGGGUUGGGGAUGCCAGAACUUGGGAGCUUGAUGCGGGUGCACUGUCUAGUAGACUGUACUUCUAUCAGGAUCCAGGUACCCCU
Molecule: unclassified non-coding RNA, 683 nt
Filed under: Hevea brasiliensis (rubber tree)
Lineage: Eukaryota; Viridiplantae; Streptophyta; Magnoliopsida; Malpighiales; Euphorbiaceae
Source: RNAcentral